This 456-nucleotide ribosomal RNA is filed under the name Triticum aestivum (bread wheat). RNAcentral describes it as "partial small subunit ribosomal RNA". Lineage: Eukaryota; Viridiplantae; Streptophyta; Magnoliopsida; Poales; Poaceae. The record is from RNAcentral.
AUGAAAUGCCUGAGUUGGAACUGCCUAAGGCUUGGGAACCCCGAGGCAGUUCGAGAGCUUCGGAAAUUAACGAAGCAAGAAGGGCCUGCUUUGCUCUUUGUUUCAGAGAGGAAGAUCAGAGCUAAGAGGGUGGAUAUUUUGCAACAUAGUCUGGGUUUUGCGGGAUGUUUUGCGGUGGAUAGUGCGGGUUUAAGUGGUGGAAUUGGCCUGUUUUGGUCAAGUGAUGUAAUAGUCGAGCUAAAGAGUUAUAGUUUUGGACAUAUUGAUGUCAUGGUCCGGGAAGCAGAUUUGUCUACUCUGGAAUGGAGGUUUACGGGGUUUUAUGGAGCCCCAAGGACUGAAGAUUGUCACCAUAGCUGGCGAUGCUUGAUAAUGAUGCAUGCAAUACCACACUAUGUAUGGUUGGAUGUGCCUCGGAGAUUUCAACAAGACUAUGUAUGGUACGGAACAUUAUAG